CAGUCGCCACGGUAAUACAGAGGGUGCGAGCGUUAAUCGGAUUUACUGGGCGUAAAGCGUGCGUAGGCGGCUUCUUAAGUCGGAUGUGAAAUCCCUGAGCUUAACUUAGGAAUUGCAUUCGAUACUGGGAAGCUAGAGUAUGGGAGAGGAUGGUAGAAUUCCAGGUGUAGCGGUGAAAUGCGUAGAGAUCUGGAGGAAUACCGAUGGCGAAGGCAGCCAUCUGGCCUAAUACUGACGCUUAGGUACGAAAGCAUGGGGAGCAAACAGGAUUAGAGACCCCCGUAGUCCCUGUCUCUUAUAC
This 301-nucleotide ribosomal RNA is filed under the name uncultured bacterium. Its description in RNAcentral is "partial 16S ribosomal RNA". It matches the Rfam family "Bacterial small subunit ribosomal RNA", at positions 509 to 807 of the family's 1533-position model. The record is from RNAcentral.